This 332-nucleotide ribosomal RNA is filed under the name uncultured bacterium. RNAcentral describes it as "partial 16S ribosomal RNA". It matches the Rfam family "Bacterial small subunit ribosomal RNA", at positions 338 to 682 of the family's 1533-position model. The record is from RNAcentral.
CCUACGGGAGGCAGCAGUAGGGAAUAUUGCUCAAUGGGGGAAACCCUGAAGCAGCAACGCCGCGUGGAGGGUGAAGGAGCGGUGCGGGUUGGAAACUUCUUUUGUCAGGGAAGAGUAGAAGACGGUACCGGACGAAUAAGCCACGGAUAACUACGUGCCAGCAGACGCGGUAAGACGGAUGUGGCAAGCGUUGUCCGGAUUUACUGGGUGUCAAGGGCGUGUAGCCGGUUUGACAAGUCAGAUGUGACAUCCUGCGGCGUAACCGCAGAACGGCAUUGGAAACUGUUGAUCUUGAGUACUGGAGACGCAGCCGGAAUUCCUAUUGUAGCGGU